GCAACCUGGAGUCAACCAGGUACAUGGUA
Molecule: small RNA, 29 nt
Filed under: Bombyx mori (domestic silkworm)
Lineage: Eukaryota; Metazoa; Arthropoda; Insecta; Lepidoptera; Bombycidae
Description: ovarian small RNA-16222
Source: RNAcentral